GCCGCGAUAGUUUAGCUAGGCAGAACAAAAGGCUGUGGCCCUUUAGACAGGGGUUCAAAUCCCCUUCGCGGCC
This 73-nucleotide transfer RNA is filed under the name Candidatus Parvarchaeum acidiphilum ARMAN-4. It matches the Rfam family "tRNA". From Rfam's summary of the family: Transfer RNA (tRNA) molecules are approximately 80 nucleotides in length. The record is from Rfam by way of RNAcentral. Lineage: Archaea; Nanobdellati; Candidatus Parvarchaeota. RNAcentral also lists the same sequence under 3 other names.